RNAcentral lists this long non-coding RNA (1859 nucleotides) under Nicotiana tabacum (common tobacco). RNAcentral describes it as "long non-coding RNA (NTAB_LNC012301)". The record is from RNAcentral. Lineage: Eukaryota; Viridiplantae; Streptophyta; Magnoliopsida; Solanales; Solanaceae.
UACAGGUUUUAAAAAUCUACUUCUUAUUCAAAUUUGAGAUUUUUCUUACAAAUUUAUAUUAUUUUUAAAUUAAGGUUUAAUUUGUAUUAUUUUCAGUCAAUAAUAUCUAUUAUAUAUAGAGAGAUUUUUAAAGUAUUCCUUAUGUAUAAUGCAAAACAAAUUUCAAAAAAUUAAGAUGAGAAAUGUUUGUGAGUGUUCAGUUAUAAUUUUUAAAUUUUUUUAUUAUAUUGUGGGUAGGGGAAGGGGAAAUAGGGAGGAAACUACAAGGCGAGAAAUCAAACCCUCACGCCUCACCAAUAAGAUAAAAAUUCAGGUAACCAACCAACUGUUACUAAGAUUUCUCAUUUAUAUGGAAUCAAUUAAUAGCGAAAUAAUCGAUAACUAAAGAACUAUUAUAUCCCUUUUAUAUAUAUGUAUUUUCUAGUUGCAAUUAAGAAAUGGCCAUAAAAAUAGGGGUGGGGGUGGGGGGAGGGGAAGAGGAGAAAUUGACAAAGGGAAUAAAAGAUCGAAGUGAAAGAGUUUAAUUCUAUCAUAGACAUAAUUCAGGAAGAAUUGACCAAAGGCUUCAAAGCUGUCGUUGUGAGUAAUACAUGUCGUUGGAGGAGGAGGAAUUUGAUCAUACUGCUCGUCCGCUGGUGGUAUAACGCAAGUCCUUGCGUUUUCUGUAGCCAUGUCCCGAACGAGCUUAUGGAGGACGCCGGUUAGCGUGUCAGUUAGCCGAGCCUCAUGGAGCUUUUUUUACUGCUGGUGGCGUCUCCUCCGCCAUGGAUGUGGAGGCUCCCUUACCAAAAGAUUUUGUGAUGCUACAGUGAGGAGGGGGUGACCCACAUCACCUGGGGGAGGCAUUGGGCGUUGCAUCCUCGUCUACUGCUUCAGAGCUCUCAUUGAUGAUAUUUAUGAGGUUGGUUGGAAGAUCACUCAUUAUUCUCGUUCUUUCUUCUCUGUUACCUGCCAUAUUAGAUCUGUGCAUACAAAGAAAGGUCGAACUAUUCUCGGAUUUGAUGAAAAAGUAUGGAAUAAUACCAAUAAGAAUCUUGAUGAAAAUGUAAUGUUUGUAUAUUUGCUAGAGAGAGAAUCUUUUUCCGAAAUAUGUUAUUAUCACAUAAUAUUACAUAUCCCUUUUCCUUAUCUUUUGUCCUCCUUAUAUGGGACAUACACAUAGCAAACCAUAAUAGUACAUGUGCAAAGAAUAUUCUUCGGAAUAUUUCCUCUAUUAUUCAAUUCUAAAAACUAGUCGUUACAACUCUUUCCGCGGAUCGUACUCGACCACUGUAAGCGUCCUGACCCCGAGUUUCGCCAUUUUCUGAUCGACCUCGACUGAUUUUUCCCGCAAUACUUCCUUGACCUAAAUGUUUCGGCGUAGAUUUCGACCUAUACAGUGAUAACUUACUUACUUUCUUUCUUUCUUUCGAGUUGUUUGUAAAGGGACUGCACAUCCUUGUUGUUGGAGAAAAAGAUACAUAUUCAUGGUGAAAUGCCCACGGGAGGUGUACUCGAUGGCAUAUGCAUAAUUUUGUGCAAGUAAUGUCAAUAUAUUACCGCAUUUCAAUCUGUAUGGAAGCUUGAUGUUAGACUAUACAGGUUUUAAAAAUCUACUUCUUAUUCAAAUUUGAUAUUUUUCUUAUAAAUUUAUAUUAUUUUUAAAUUAAGGUUUAAUUUGUAUUAUUUUCAGUCAGUAAUAUCUAUUAUAUAUAGAGAGAAAUUUUUAAAGUAUUUCUUAUGUAUAAUGCAAAAAAAAAAUUCAAAAAAUUAAGAUGAGAAAUGUUUGUGAGUGUUCAGUUAUAGUUUUUUUAAAUUUUUAUUACAUUGGGGGUAGGGGAAGGGGAAAUAGGGAGAAAACUACAAGGCGAUAAAUCAAA